CUGCAUGGUACCCUCAAAACAAGGGUAGUAUCUGUAUCUUAAAGGCAUGACAAUGACUGAACGUGCCGACCACACGGAAACUACAGCAAAUUCCAGCCUAAGUAACCCUAUAAGAAGGUGUCCUUUAUCGUUCCUGGUUCUCCAUCUUCUUCUUUCUAUCUAUCUUCCAUGAUUUUCUUCCCAGAACUCUUCCUCAGUUUCUCUAGCCUAUCUGUAAUGGAGGAAAGAGUCAGCACUGAAGUAGCUGUACCACAGAUGAUUUCUUUGAGCAAACGCCAACAGAUCAAGAUGUUGGAUACAAUUGUUGAGGAAGAGUACUAUGAUCUGGAGUUGAUCAAACCUUGCUGUCCCCGACAAUUUACAGAUCAACUUCUAGUGAUGAUCUUGACAUAUCAUGUUAUCGUCAGAAGCAGCUCAUACUGACGGCGGAAUUAGAGACGGAGUUCUAGCUAGAGAUUAAUUAGAAGAGAAUAAAGGGCCAUGAUAUUGAAGUCAUUGUUCAUUCUAGCUACUGCAUUAUGUUUUUUUUUUUGAAGUUGUAACCACCAUUUUAAUUUGUUCUUCUCCUCAUGGAACUUUUUUUUAGCUUCCAAGGAGAUUGCAACAGCUGUAAUUUUCUUUGUUUCAUUGAAGGAAAAUGAGAAAUAAAGGACCAUACUGUUAGAUGGAAAACACUACCGUGCAUCUAAUUCAGAUAAAUACUAGGGAGCAAGAAACAACGUAGCACUUCAGGUUACUCUAUCAGUGUUUUCUCUAACAAAAGGACUAAAAGAAAAUAUGGAAUUAUUGUCCAUGCGCAUGGAAAAGGGAAAGGCCUAAUACGAUCCUACAUGUAACCUUAAACAACUGUUAUCGUAAGCAUUAGAAAUGCACACCCUUUUGCGUCCAAUUGAUUAACUUCAAUUUUUUAUAUCCCAAACCAUUCUAACUCAAUUCGACUCAUACAAGAAUAAUCACAGCUAUCUUAUGCAAUUAGAGAAGCACACCUUCUGUUUCAAUUAGAUUAUCUACUUGAUGAUCUCUUCUCUAAUCAAACUAAUUCAUCCAUUAUGGAUCACACAACAAAAUUAAUAUCAAAUUUAACCGCUUCAGGGAUUAAAACAUCCAAAUGAACACAAGUACACAACAGAAAACUGAAAUGAAAACCUGAAGAUCUUCAGGGAGGUACUCGUGCUUCAUGGACAGGUCCAUGGCGCGCAUCAGGCGAUAGUCAAAGUAUCGUGCUUCAUAAGUGUGUGAAGGUUAUAAUUUCAAUGAUCGUCAAGGCCUUCAUCAAUUAAACUUGAUAAGUGUGUAAGCACGGCAAACAUUUAGGGUUUUCUUCAAUAGAUGUAUUUCUUUACUUGAAACUUGAAACAGUUUGGUUGAGUAUUACUAAUUUGAUUGCUUUUCAGUCCAUAAUCCAGACAAGGUGGUGUCCGGUACGUUCAGGACAAUAAUUCUAUAAAUUCAUAACCCAUCAACUAUAUAGUUUUUAAUAAAUUUAAAACUUGUUGAGGUCUGGUGGCUGGAUUCAAAUUUGCCAACCAACACAAUAGUGUUGGUGGGACCAUCAAGUAAGAAGCUGCCACGUGUAUUAAAACUUAACUAUAGUUAACCUUAGUUAGUAAUAAAAGAAAAUUGAUUUUUUUUAUUUAUGUUUAUUAGUUUAUUACUCUCUCACCUAGACCUCGGCAACUACAGAUCUCUCUCUCCACCGAAAAAAGAACUCCAGACUCUCUUGUCCGUUCCUAUCUCGCUGCCGGAGAAGAAAGCCCCUUCUGUGGGAGCUAGCAUGGGAGGAAUGGGAGGCAUGGAUUACUAGAACUUCAGUAGUUGGAUUUGCCAAAUCCUCUGCUGCUAAUUGUCAAUCCUCUUUAAACAAACGCUAGCUUCGAAUCCCUUUUAGUUUUUCCUGACGGUAUUGUUGGAGGCCGAACAUGAAUGUAAUCAUAGUGAGAUGAGGUUCUAAUCUGUAGGAAGAAUGUAGUGCUAUUAAUUGGUCAGGCAAAAGAUUUUGUUCUCCCCACAUUAGACUUCACAAAGUUCAUAUUUCCAGAAGAUCUCAGUGUCAUUGGUGAACAAUGAUAGUACAAAAAUCUGUGGGAGAAUGAACAGGUAAAUUCCUCAAUUUCUUCUGUAUAACAAUCCUGUGUUUCUAAAUAAAUAAAAAAACAAAAAACUACAGACUCUCUCAUAGAGUCUGAGUGUGAGUCUGGGCAUUAUCUCUCUCCCACUCUCAAAGGCUGAACUUGUUCGAGGAGGAUCGACAACCUUUGAAGACCACCUUUGCUCGCACAACCACCAAAACCUUCCUAAGGUACGAUCCCACUUUCUCUUAGUUGUUUCAAAAUCUGGUUUCUGUGAAUUUUUAAAUCUUAUAUCUUCAAUUUUGAUAGUAUGAUUGAUUUUGGCUCAUUAACUUUGAAUUUCUUAUUGGGUUCUGCAACUAUGAUGAGAACAACAACUAUAAAUUGAAUGCUUGCAAAAUUUCUAUAGUUUCGUAUAGGUCUCCGAGAGAGGGAAAGGAUCAAGCUUUAUACUACUCAAAUUUGCCAGUGUGAAAAUCCAGAACUGAGGUGCUGAGGCUACUCAUUUCUUCAUCUGCGUUUUAUUUUAAAUCUGGCUUGAAGACGAAAAGUGGUUUAGUUAAGUAAAUAACUAAAUAUUAAAAAAUGAUUAUCAUUAGUAUUUAAUAUUGAAAAGAGAUACUAAAUUAACCCCAGUUAGUUCAUGGUUGGUGUUUCACACGUGGCAGCUUCUUACUUGAUGGUCCCAUGACCGGUUGGCAAAUUUGAAUCCCUGGUGGCUUUUGAGUAGUACUUUUCCAUCCCUUCAUCAUGCCUAGUUGCAUGCCUAGUUGCAUGCGGAUUGAUACUAAUCAAUCUCAUCAGCCUACCAAACGUGGGUGCAGUUCAGAACACGGAUUGAAAAAUCGAAAAUAUCUCCAAAAAUUUUAGACAUGUGGCAGUCUAACGUGAUUCUACGUUUUAAUUAAAUUUAGACAUGUAGAUUUUUUAUAAGUAAAAUAUAAACAAAUAUUUUUUAUUUUUUGUGAAAUGACAUUCAUGGGUAUUUAGCAAGUUUAAACUAGGGUCUAGGAUAUAGGGUUUAAAGUUUAGGGUUAGGGUUUAGGAUAUAGGGUUUAGGGUAUAGGGUAUAGGGUUUAGGGUAUAGGGUAUAGGGUUUAGGGUAUAGGGUUUGGGGUUUAGGGCUUAGGGUUUAGUAUUAAAAAAACAACAGAAAACCUAAAAUGGUCUUUGACAAAAUAGCUGAAAUAAUUUUUCGUGAAGAAAAUCUACAUGUCUAAAUUUGAUUGAAAAGUAGGACCACGUCAGACUGCCACGUGGUCCUCCUGUAGCACUGAAAAAUUUCUCUAAAACGUGAGCGCAGUUCAGAACACGGUUUUCGGAGGGUCGAAAUUUCCUCGAAACCCUAUAUUUUGGUCUUUGGUUCAGAUGUUUCCAAAUUUAACUUCAUAGAGUAUACAUGCAGGGACAGAGACUUUGUGUCUGAAAAGCUCCGAAGUCUUCCCUAAACUAUAAUAAUCAAUACUUAAUAGAGAGCAAUCAUGCAUGGCCUCUUUAAAUAUAAGCCUGUGAUGAAGUACGAUAGCAUUGUAAUAGCAUCUAACAAACGAAAAACCAUGAGAGCUUCAAGUUUCUAUGAUUGUUUUUGCUCUCUAGUUUGCCUUACCUUGUGCCUUGAGCAGCUUCAGUUGUUUGCAUUUGCUUCUGCUUCUAUUAAUUCCACUUCUGAAGCAGAGGCUCUUCUCAAAUGGAGAGAAAGCCUUAACCAAACACAGAAUAAUCUCACCUCAUCCUGGACCUAUAAUCCCAGUACUAGUAAUGCCACCAACUCUUCCGGAAACCCAGAAGCAAAUGCAAGCCCUUGCGAUGGUGCUUGGAGUGGUAUUUCAUGCAACAAAGCUGGAAGCGUGACCAACAUAAGCCUUUCCGAUUUUGGUUUACAAGGUACACUGCAUGAAUUCUUGUUCUUCUCCUUCCUUAAUCUUGAAUAUCUGGACCUCAGCUUCAAUAAACUCUUCGAUGUCAUCCCACCUCAGAUCAAUUCCCUCACCAAACUUGUGUAUCUUGAUCUAGGCAAUAAUCAGUUUUCCAGGAGAAUCCCACCAGAAAUCGGUCUUCUAAGAAAUCUAACCUUUCUUAAUCUCCAUGGUAAUAAUCUUUUUGAUACUAUUCCAAAAGAGAUAGGAAACCUGAAAUCUCUCAUGGAGCUAGGAUUGAGCUAUAAUCAUUUCACUGGUUCGAUUCCAAUAUCACUAGGUAAUUUGACAAACCUUACUAUUCUAUAUCUCCAACAUAAUAACCUUUCUGGUUUCAUCCCACCAAAUUUUGCAAACUUCAGAAAGAUUACUGUGUUAUACUUGUGGGACAAUCAACUCUCUGGUUCUAUACCUCCUCAGUUAAGAUACCUGAAGUCUCUAGAAGAUGUAAACUUGAGUAAUAAUCAUCUCAAUGGUUCGAUCCCAGCAUCACUGGGUAACCUCACAAACCUUAAAUGGCUGUAUCUCGGUGUAAACAAUCUAUCUGGGGCAAUUCCUACAGAAAUUGGGAAACUGAUAUCUAUGUUGGGCAUAGAUUUUAGCCGGAAUCAACUGAAUGGUUCCAUUCCCACUUCAUUUGGUGACCUGGCAAACCUUACAAAUCUCUACCUUCGUGAUAACCAACUUUCCGGCUCCAUCCCCCAAGAGAUGGAGAAACUUAAAAAGCUGGCUAUACUGCAUUUGGAUACUAACCAAUUUUCUGGCUAUUUGCCCCAAUAUAUUGGCCAAGGUGGAUCACUCACAAACUUUUCAGUUUCCGACAACCAUUUGAUUGGUCCAAUUCCCAAAAGCUUGAAAACUAGCACAAAGUUAUUCAGAGUCCGACUUGAUGGAAACCAAUUGUCAAGCAAUCUAUCAGAAGACUUUGGAGUCUAUCCAAAUCUUCGAUUUCUAGACCUGAGCAACAAUAACCUGUAUGGGGAAAUCUCAAGUAACUGGGGACAGUGCCCACAAUUGACAACCUUACUAAUUGCAGGAAACAACUUAACUGGCAGUAUACCACCUGAGAUUGGAAAUGCAACCCAAAUGCACGAGCUCGAUCUUUCUUCCAAUGGUUUAGUUGGGAGGAUUCCAGAAGAAAUUGGAAGAUUGACUUCUUUGGUGAAGCUGAAGUUGGAUGGAAAUCAACUUUCAGGUAGCAUACCACCAGAAUUUGGAUCAUUGACCAAUCUUGAAUAUCUUGAUCUAUCCAGAAACACAUUGAACGAAUCAAUUCCAAGCAUUCUGGGUGAUCUGCUCAAACUACACUAGAAUUUGAGCAACAAUAAGUUUGGAGAACGAAUUCCUGCUCACUUGGGGAAGUUAGCUCAACUGUCCCAACUAGAUUUGAGUCAAAACUCAAUCGAGGGAGGGAUACCAUCAGAACUCAGCAGUAUGCAGAGUUUGGAGAUGUUGAAUUUGUCACACAAUAAUCUUUCUGGUUCCAUUCCAACAAGUUUUGGAAAUAUGCACGGCUUGUGAUAUGUUGACAUAUCGUUCAAUGAGUUGGAAGGUCCGCUUCCCAACAACAAAGCAUUUCAAGAUGCUUCUCCAGAAGCCUUGCAAGGGAACAAGGGAUUGUGUGGCAACAUUGAAGAUUUGGAACCCUGCAAUAAAGAUGGCUCAAAAAAGGUCCAUGGCCCGAAACUGGUAUAUGUGAUCCCAUUUUCUCUUCUGGCAUUACUUUUACUUCUAUCUUCCUGCUCCAUCGUAGCAUUUAGAAAAAAGAAGCAUCAGGAUGACCAAAGAAACAACAAGCAUGAAGAGAUUUCUUUUUUAGCAUUAGAAUUUGAUGGCAAGACAAUGUAUGAGGAAAUCAUAAAAGCAACAGAGGAUUUUGAUUCCACAUAUUGCAUUGGGAAGGGAGGACAGGGAAGCGUCUACAAGGUGAACCUGGCAUCUGCCAACAUAGUGGCUGUGAAGAAAUUGCAUCAGUUAUGCAGUGACGAUGAAAAAGUUAAGAAGGAAUUCUUAAAUGAAGUACGUGCACCAACUGAGAUUCGACACCGAAACAUUGUGAAGCUUUAUGGCUUCUGUUCACAUAGGCAACACUCAUUCUUGGUAUAUGAGUAUAUAGAAAGGGGUAGCUUGGCGACAGUGUUGAGCAAUGACGGUGAAGCUCAAGAACUGGGGUGGAGUGAAAGGGUGAAAAUUGUCAAAGGUGUAGCUCAUGCCUUGUGUUACAUGCACCACGAUUGUUUGGAAGCAAUUGUUCAUCGGGACAUAUCAAGCAAGAACAUUUUGCUGAAUGCCGACUUUCAAGCCUGUGUUUCAGAUUUUGGCACUGCCAAGUUCUUGAACCCAGACUCAGCUAAUUGGACUGCCCUUGCAGGCACCUAUGGAUAUAUUGCACCAGGUAAUAUUGGUUUUCUCUGUUUUGUACUUUUGUAUUGAUCACUCUUUUGUGCUCCUGUACACCUGUAGUCUCCUAGUUAAAGUGAUUGGCUUCAGUUUAAGUUUUACUUGGAAAUUAGCAUAGUUAUGAUUCAAUUUCUUUCGACACAGUCCAUUAUAUAAUCAUAAGAUAACUGCUUCUCAAUAUCUAAUUCAAUUUGUGUAAAAUGUUUGUGUGCAGAACUUGCUUAUACAAUGGAAGUGAACGAGAAAUGUGAUGUUUAUAGCUUCGGUGUGGUAACAUUGGAAAUACUUAUGGGAAGGCAUCCAGGAGAGCUCCUCGUACCUCUAUCAUCAGGGUCAUCGACACAGUCAUCUGCAUUACCCAUCCAUCAAAUGUCAAUUUCGGAUGUUUUUAACAAGCGCAUUUCCCCUCCUACAGAUGAAGUUGCAGGGGAGCUGCUCUCUCUUGUGAAGAUAGCAUUUUCAUGCUUGAAUACUAGUCCUCAGUCUCGACCAAAUAUGGAACAAGUUUCUCAACAAAUGGAAACUCAGAGGCUGCAUUUGUCAAAGCCAUUACAGAUGAUAAGAUGUGGUGAAUUGAUAGUUUGACUGCCUGAUAAAUUGGGAAUAACAGAAUGUGCUUCUUUCCUAUACAAAAUCACUAUGUGUGCUUUCCUUUCAGCAAAAGGAUUAUUGUAUCCUUAUUGUAAUUUUAGUUCAUGUGCUUCUGUGCUAUGGCUCAUGUAUGAUAAAACAAGGAAAAAAAAUUCUAUAUUAGAACAAAAUGCACCAACACAAACAUACUAGAAUUUUAGUUUGCCAGAAAUACAUUUCUUUUGGUGAUAGAAAUCAUAGAAUAUAAGGGUAAAUGUUGCUAUGUACAUAUUGCCAAAGAGGCCAAAGCGGGCAAAGCCACAGUAAAGAAGGAAAGUCAAUUUCCUUGAACAAAGACAAAUUGUUAUGUUGACUGAAAUGACAGAGCAUGAGAGGUCAGCACCUGAGUCCUUGGUCAGGAGGUGACAUUGAAGAAACAGUGAAAAGACAUGGCGGUCAGUGUGUGACCAAUGCCGGAGGAUAUAACAUUGUCAGCCAGCUCAGCCUGUUAAAUAAGAAAAUCAGAGAAUUCCUAUUAUAGAAAUCAUGAUUCAUGCCAUGUGAUAAAGGAAACAUGACUAAUGAUCAAAGCCAUUAUGCAGGGUUAUCCAUGAACUGGUAGAGAAGGACACUCAUAAUCAACUGUAUAGAAAGUUAGAAACCAAACAAUAACCAAGCCAAGGAAUGCAAAACUUCUAGGUUUCUAUCUAUACUCUUCAAGAAUCAAUCCUCAGUUUUUUACCACUUUAGCUUGCAUAAACUUAGUAGACCAAGCACAUUUAAUCAUUUCUGAAUGUCAAAACAAAUAAUAAAAAUGGAGUAGCCGAUGGUAAAUGAAAAGUAUUCACUUUCAGCACAAUCUCAAGUUAAAUGUAGAUAAAGUAAAUCAUAAGAGUGACCUUCACAGUCUAAAUCUACAAGAACUGAAAGGGGCCUUAAUAUGGCCACAACAUCAAAAAGAAUAAACUUUCUAUCUUGUUUCCAAUUAAUCUUCACUAAUAUUCAUCUAACUUCCCUACCUCACAGCAUGCUGCAAUGGUUCUUUCUGAGACUUAUUUGGUUUCCCAGUUCGAAGAGCCCACAAGUGGCUAUCCGCGCAGAAUAAUGAUCCGGUACUCAUUCCAUCAUUCAUCUUCCGUCUUCUCUGGUGAAUCAGAAUCAAAAUCCUCCUGCACUGUCUCGGCCAGCAUUUGGCUUUCAAUCGAUGCGCAUUGAAUUGAUUGCAAGAAGUUGAAGUAAGCAUACUUGAUAUCAAACUGCAUAUCAUACCCUGCCAUACAUAAUCAAACCUCAUUAUCUGACCACACAAAAACACUAAUCUGAUCCUAAAAACGCAUUCAGUACUUGAUCCCUUACAGUAAUUAACAGCAAUAGUUCUCCCUCUGCUAUCUGGACUUUGCCUAACAUGAUGAAACCACAUACUUGGCCUGCAUUAACUCCACCACAUCAUUUACACAAAAAUCCACAUAUCAAAUAAAGCAAGCAUCUUUAAUCAAUUCGAAACUCACAGGUACAGCAUCUCUCCUGGAUUAAUCGUACAGCGAAACGGCCUAGGCCCAUUGAAGAACAAAGGAAACUUUUUGAGCUGUUCUUCUCUGUCCUCAGGAGCAGGGUAAGGAUCAACACUAGACCAAGGCACAGGUCUAGCCGGACUUUCCAUCUCCAGCUCGAACUCUCCGGUGACCGGAGAAUGCCUAUACUGCGCGGCCGGGUAUUCCCUUAUGUACAUGCGAUGCACAUCGGUAGGAGGGAGCAGGAGGAAAUGCUUCUGUCCCGUGACCACAGCGUAUAGAUUCUCGUAGUGAUCCUUAUGAAACGACGUCGUAGACCUCUCCUCGCCGAUCCACAUGUUGACGGCCUCCGGCCGGCAGCCUAGGGCUUCGGUGGCGAACGGGAUAUGCGGAUCGCAGUCCGCCGCCAGCGGGGAGUACUCCGACUGGAAGCAAUUGUUCUGCUGCUGCGCGUAGGCGACGAACGACGCGUCGUUUUUGAUGAGGCGGAGCGCUUCCGGGAAGGGCGUGCGCUGCACGUGAGCGGAGGCGAAGCAGAGGGAGGAGGAAGGGGAGGGGACGAGGGAGUCGGCGCGGCCGUGAGGAGUGAGGUGGAGGGAGACGAGGGAGGAGGAGAGGGCGGAGGUGAGGUAGGAGUCGGAGGUCCAGCGGGUGAGGGCCGGCCAGUGAUUGGUGGCGUUGGAGAUGAUGCAGGGCUUGUUUUGGGAGACGAAGUCGCGGAGGAACUGGAGGGGAGUUGGCGGGGAAUCGAGGCGGUCUAGGUCGCCGGAGGUGCCGAGGUUGAGCUCCCGGACUUCGUUCCAGAGCGUCUCUAUUUUUCCCUCCAUUGGAGUUGGAUACUGGGUCGGAGCGAAAGUGAGACCGAGGAGGAAGACGAAGAAGGGUUUAAGAAUUGGGCUAGGCCUCUUUCAAGUCUUGGGUAAUGAUAGAUAGUAGAUCGCGUGAAACGGUCCAAUACGUGUUUUCGGGAAAAUUUAAAGAACAGUGUACAUUAAUUAUUGUCCACUUUUAAUUUAAGUACUUCAACUUUCAAAACUAUCACAAUGGUAUAUGAAUGUAUAAAACCUGCUUAAUUUUAGUACAUACCGUAAUGACUCCGUUACUGAGAAUGGUAAAUCGGUCUUUAUAGAUUAAUUAUUAUUUUAAAUAAAAUUUAUAAUCUAUAUGAUUACCUAAUUUGAUUUGUACACGUUCUGUCUCCUCUUUUACAAAAACCAGAUCGAAAAAAAUUUCCACGACGACAGGGACAUCGAUAACGAUAGGGCACACAACCAGGGGCGUAGCUAGCCUAGGACUAGAGAAGUCAAUUGAUCCCUCUCAAAUUUAAUACAUGUUUUAAUUACCCUUUAUUAUUAUUCAUUAUUAAUAGAAUGAAACAUAAAUGACCAUUUUUAAUUUUGAGAAAAAUCUUAAAUAGGCUUAAAUAUUCAUGAAUAUUAAUGGAAUGAUAUAUAAAUCCAUGUUGUUAAUAUAUGAUUCAUUGAUUCAGUUAAUACAAAUUUUUACCUUACUGAUCGAUAUGUGCUUCAAGCUAGGAUCACAGUUAUUCUCAAAAUUUAUUCAAAAUGAUUUAGUGGUCUUUCAAUAUUAAUAUUAGUAUAAAGGGUGCGUCUAUUGCCACCCCACAAACCACUUUGUUCACCCCACGUUCUCUUCACACCCCACUUAUAUAUUUUUAAUUGUGAGUCUACUUUGUUCACCCGUUUAAAAUACUUAAAAUACCCUUUUUCCCAUUUUUUCUUUGUUCACCCUAAAUUCUUUUUUCACCCUACAUAUAUUUUUUUCAAUUUCANNNNNNNNNNNNNNNNNNNNUUUUGUUCACCCUACAUUCGAUCUCUUCUCACCCCGCCUAUAUAAUUUUUAAUUUUUAAUUUUUAAUUUUUAAUUUACUCUAUUCACCAAUUUGCAAUACACACGAUAUCAGCCUCUUCCAAUGUCAUUGAACUUCAAAAAAAAAUGAAAUUGAAGAAAACCAUAAGAUUAAUAUCAUUUGGGUAAGUGAAAUCACAAACUGAACAAUAAAAAUCACAUUAAAGUAUAAAUCUCAAUUAAAGAAUAAGAAACAACUCUCAAACUUAACAACUCAUUGGUAUCCGUCGAUAUUAAGAUGCACAAUGUCUGUAAACUCUACUUAGAAAAAGCUCUGACGUCAAUGAAAAAAAAUGAAUAUAUAUAAAUGAGCGACUAGACAUGAAAAUUUACAUACCAAAUCGAUAUGAGAAAUAAUGAGUAAAAGAAACAUCAACAAAGAAAAAAAAAUUACAAACAAUUCACCUCAUAUUCAGUUGAAUGCUAGUGUCUUCUUUAGACUUCAUAGAAAUAUCGAAUAUAAUAAAUUCUUGGUUAAGAUUUAUGAAGUACGUGUGUUUAUCUAAAAAAUAAUAAUUUGUAAUUUGUAACAAUUUAUUGUCCCUUGCUGUAAUUUUAUAUUAGGGCAUAUUAGUCAUUCAAUAAAUCAACAACCUGUGGGGUGAGCAAAGUGAUUUAUGGGGUGGCAAUAGAAGCACCCUAGUAUAAAACAUACAAUACUUUUACAUACAGGUUCCUGACAACAAAUUUUUUCUACUAAUUUAUAUAGGACAAGAAAAUUAUAGAAAGCUUGUGUUAUUGUGUUUUUAGGAAAAAAAAAUUGUGCCCUUUUUGUAACGAAUAACCACAAAUUUUACUUUCUUAAUAUAUAAAUUUUGACCAUUCUAAAUUACAAUUCUGGCUACGCCACUGCACACAACCACAACGACGAGAUUCGUGUCUGCAUCUCCUUCGUCUCUGUCACCUCCAAAGUCCUGCUUCGGCUUCUUCCUCCUUUCUGAGGUCCUCAAAGUCCUUGAAUUGUCGAGAUUCAAAGCUCAACAAGUUGGUACCUGGGUAGAGGUUGGGGGCUCCACGAAACAGGUGAAUUGCAUGGUGGGUAGAAUCGAAGCGUUGAUCUGUCUUUUGAAGGUUGGAGUUGAAUUGGCAAAAAGGGAGAUGGGAAUGCAAUAUGCACGCAUACAUGAUCUUUGGUUGAGAAAAAUUACCAAUUGAGUUGCUUCACAAACUACGUUACAGGCCCAUAGAAUUCGAUUCAAUUAUGGAGAUCGGUUUUGGUCUGUGGCGAAUAUAUGGCUGAGUAUUUUUUUUUUUUUUUUUUUAACUAAAUGGCUGAGAUUAUGGUUUAUGAUUUCUUUUCUUUCCAAAUGUCAGUUUCGAUAAUACUGAUGAAUGACAUUUUAGAUAAUUAUGAUUUUUUUUCCUUCAUACUGAUUGCAGCAACUCAAGCUUUGAAUGAAGAUGCAGUCUGAAACAAGGAGCUCUGCUCAUGAAGCAGAAGCAAAAUGGAUUCGCUAAUCGAGAGAGAGAGAGAGAGAUUACUUAAUUAUCUUUUCAAAAAUGAAUAAAAAUAUAAAUUUUAAGAGUGUUAUUAACGGUUGGUACUAAAAGUAUGUCGAGUUGUUCAAGUCAUGUACUAUUGUGACUUUGUGAGAGCAAAUGCGUCACUGCAGUCAAAUGGUAGGGGUAAAAGAAGAGUUUUGGCUCCUAAUUUGUCUUUGCCUUUUGAUUCUUAUGCAUUGUAAGAGCAAGUUCAGCGGUUACCUCUUGACUGGCUUCCAACUAGGCUUGGUUGAGGUGGUGACCAUGAUGGGCUAAAAACUACACUCCACCAGUGAAUUGGUGACCGGCAUCUGUGUGACAAUUACUGACCCAGAUCAAAUAGAAGGUCAAUUUCCUGACCAAAAACCUGACCCAAAGAAGCCGGUUGCCAUGCUAGCCUAAGCCAAAUAAUAGGUGACAGCCAUAUCUAUUUUUGUGUGGUGAUGACUCAACUGAAUAAAGAGUCUUGGGCGGGAACAAAAGUGAUUAGUGAUAUACACGUGUUGGUUUUUUGUGACCUUGAAAUUUAAAUUUCAAGUGAUGCAGGAUCAAUACCGUUGAUUGAUGGCAUCUUCUUCAUUCAAAUCAUAACCCAAAUUUAUAAAUUAGGAAUAAUUUCCUUAUUAAUGUUAUGAUAUGAAUGUUGCAUUAAAAAUUUAUAAAAAUUUCCAUUCUUCUCGAUACAAACAUUAAAAAUUUCCAUUUCUAUUGCAUACAAACAAACAAACAAAAAUUCCACCCAAAAAAUAUUAAAUUAUGUGUGCUUUUAUUCACAUAAAAUAAUCAAUGUAUUUAUGAUAAUCAUUAAUUAUGUCCAUUUUUAUCAUCUACUUACAUCAAUAUAUUUCAGUUUUAUUAUAAAUAAAUCGAUGAAAAGUUUAAUGAACAGUAACUUACUGGUCAAUAAACAUAACGGGUGGAAACACAGGUUCAGUGACAGUGAACAGUGUCUUGACCCAGUGACUUUGACAUUUUGACUCAACGAGUGAACUUGCUUUAAAAGGCAAGACUUUUAAUCUCAACCACAUUUCGUAGGGUUUCUCAGAUUUGCCGUUGCUUGAGUUGCUUCUGCUUCUCUUUCUUUUCCUUUUNNNNNNNNNNNNNNNNNNNNNNNNNNNNNNNNNNNNNNNNNNNNNNNNNNNNNNNNNNNNNNNNNNNNNNNNNNNNNNNNNNNNNNNNNNNNNNGCCCCAUUGCCAUCCCUAAAGAGAAGGAAUCAAAGUAAUAUCUAGGGUUAAAACUAGAAAGUAACAAAAAUGGUGGAUAAAAUAUGAUGUAUUGGAUGACUAGACGAGGAGGCAAAAGCUGCCAGUGGAGUUGAUCGACCAUGAUUUUGAUCGGGCACAAUUCAUGCGCCGCAUAGAUUCUAGGUUAAUUGAGAGGCUAGACCAUGGUCUUGCCUCCUGCGGUGCAUCUGUUCUGAUAGUUUUGAAAGUUGAAGUACUUAAAUUAUCAAUGGACAAUAGUUCCUGUACUGUUUCUAAAAUUUUCCCCAAGUAAUUAAGAUGUUCAAGUGUCAGAAACAUGGUUUGUUCUGCUAGAAAUCAUGAAUUUAUUAAAUGUAAAAUGCUUAAAACAGUAAAGGAGAGGAAGAAUGCUAUGGAGGCUACAUUGUGUCUAACUUGAUUGAGAGAGAAUGAGGUUACAACAAUACAUAUAUAUAGUUAACACCCCCCCAACCUAGCAUAUAGUUAACCCCCCUCAACCAUAUGCUUGGUAUACAACAAGCAUAAUGGUUGAAAAAGACAUGACUAUAGCCUAUUACAAGAUAACACCCAAUUCAUAAACCCACAUGAUAUGAUAAAGACUAGCCUCCAUCUUGAUUUGCAGCAGAUUUACAAAAGAGGAUAGACAGCUUGCUAGAAGAAUCUCAUAGUUCACAUGGUGAGAGCAAAGGCAGUAGAGCAGCAAUAUGUAAUGCAACUUCAGCAGCAUAGCAGCAAUAAAAUAAACUGAAAAAUCUCUUCAAAUUUGACUAAAUUCUGAUAUAGAGAAAGACUGAAAACUGCAUAUGACUGCCACAAAUUUUCUGAUAUUCAUUUGCACACUUCCAGCAACCAUGGAAAAGCACCACCAAGAAUUUUCCCUUAAUCUGAAACUCCAUAUGCACUCCAGCAGCUCAUAACCAACUGAACUCCUCUCUACACUUCUAAUUAAUUAACUCCAACGGAAGUAAACUAAAUCAACCAUUGGCAGUGUAAUCACACAUGUCUUGAACAAACUACUGCAAAGUUCUCUGAUGCAAACACCAACUAAAUGCAACUAAAACCAAAUGACAGAGAAACCAGAAAUAUCUUCAUCAAAUUCAGACAUGCACUGCACACUAAAGUCAUAGAACUAAUCAGUAAUCCAAAUCAUCAAUGCAAACACCAACUAAAUGCAACUAAAACCAAAUGACAGAGAAACCAGAAAUAUCUUCAUCAAAUUCAGACAUGCACUGCACACUAGAGUCAUAGAACUAAUCAGUAAUCCAAAUCAUCAAGCCGUGCUCACCAGUCCACAAACAAAAAGAUAUAAACUGCUUCGUCACCUUUUUCUCUUGGUUGACGGCAAACGUACUUUGAUAAAGAAAAAUAAAACUGGAAAACUGAUGAAUUGAAGCACAAUAAUUGAGAUCACAGACGGAUUUCAUGAGUCAAGCGAGAGAGUUGACUGAAUCAGAAAAGAGCUCUCCAAUGUCUAUGUAAUUUGAGUGAAGCAUGAUAAAGGAGUGCAACAUCAUAAUAGGAACACAGUAUAGCACUCAAACUACUGAUCUCCAAUCUCAGUAUAUUCACCUCAUAAUCUUUGUUCAUCCUGCUCUACUCUCACAUAAUAAGCAGUAAGUUCCCUUCUAAGAAGCAUAAUUAAUCACCAUAUCAUCACUUACUGAACAUCAAUUCUAGAUAGUAAACACCACCUAUUCUUCAAUUCUAGAUAGUAAACAUCUCCCAAAAUAGGCACAACUAGCAUAUGAAGCCACACAAUCAAGUUGCAAACCAAGUCAUCUAGCCAGAAUCACCAGUCCAAAAGAAACAAGAAAAUUCUUCUUCAAACUUUAAACUUCAACUUAAACUUCAAUUAACAAAUGCAACGGACAAAUGAUGAUACUAGGCAGAGUAAUCGAGAUCACAACCUUGAUAGCAUGAUUCCGACAGAUAGAGAUGACCAAAUCGAAAAGAGAUUACCAUAAGAAGCUGAAAUCUGAAGAUUUUGAUGUUUGCUGAUGGGAGUGAUGCAGACCAAUUCGAAAACCAUAUACUUCCCAAACCACCUCGCGAUUAAUCACCUUUGAAGAACAAGAAGAAGCUCAGACCUCGAAGCUAUCACUGUCGAGGCCAUAACUUUCGGCACCCGAAAUGAACACAGACUCGACCUCAAUCGGAGGAGAACAGGUCGAGGAUGGAAGGCGACUAAUCGGGCCUUGCCGGUGACGAAUAACGACUGGGCUUCACUGAUUAAAGACCGAGGAGAAGGAAUUGACUGAAAUUGGGCUAGGGUUUCUGAAAUUGGGGGAAAAUCAAAUUGAAAACGAAAGAAAUUGAUAACAGCGAAAGCUAAAGAUAGAUGAAAGCAUGAAGUCCACAGGAUCAAGAGCCGAGGCUCUGAUACCAUGCUAGAAAUCAUGGAUUUAUUGAACGUAAAAUGCUGAAAACAGUAAAAGAGAGGAAGAAUGUUAUGGAGGCUACAUUGUGUCUAACUUGAUUGAGAGAGAAUGAGGUUACAACAAUACAUAUAGGGCUUAGAAUAUAGAAUGAUGUAAAUGCCCUUGCGACUUAAUUGUCAUAAACCUAGCGUAUAGACAUAUCAUGGCACUUGUAGAAUAUGCUAAACGAGUCUAAUUAGUUGAGCACUUGAGCAUAUGGACAUAUCAUGGCUCUGUAAGUUUGGAAACCUGAUAAACUCUUUGAGCCCUAUCUGAGGGUUGCGACUUAAUUGUCAUAAACCUAGCGUAUAGACAUAUCAUGGCACUUGUAGAAUAUGCUAAACGAGUCUAAUUAGUUGAGCACUUGAGCAUAUGGACAUAUCAUGGCUCUGUAAGUUUGGAAACCUGAUAAACUCUUUGAGCCCUAUCUGAGGGUAUGCUCAGUCAUAUGUGAUAUGUUUUUUUUUUUCAUACUCAACAUGGCUAGUUGGAAAGGUUUUUCUCAGUAUAGGUCUACCAAGAAACUUCCAUGACUAGCUAGCUUGUGUUAUCCAUGAGAAAGAAACGGCUUUCUUUAUGUUUAAGGAAGAUGGAAAUUGUAUAAUGUGUGUGACACUAAAAUGCUAAAUAGGACCUAGUUGUUUUAAUUAUGCUGUUCUAGGGGUUUUUCAUUACUGUUAGACUAUGACUCUUCUUCUCUCUGUCUCUCUCUCUGUAUUAUAUUUCUUCAGGCUGCAGUCUGAUGUUUGUUCCUCUCUUAUUCUCACAAUGUUGCUCCGAAGGGAAAGUUUAUUGCGUUUGUGUCAACGGAAGCGGAAACUGAGCUAAAGCCAGGCCGCUCCCUUUUAGGACCUGUUGAAGAGAUAUUUUUCGAUAUAUAUGACAGAUAUGAGCCGGUCAAUGAACCUGUUUCGGACAAUUGCUUUAUAUCAACUGUGAGUCAUGUUCAAGCCUUGCUUCUGUUUUCAAGUUUUAUAAACGAUAAACACUUGACAAGUGCCUUUUAGAGUUAUGAUGCAACAACACACUUUGAGUCCACUGUCAUGGAUGCACUCAACUAGGGUGAGAAAUUCAAUCAUACUAGGGUGAUUCAGUUCAGCUGUUUUUUCCCAUCAUUUAAAUUCAAAUGGAAAUGCCUUGCUACACAAACUACUUUUGACUAACAAGCCCUUCUUUCUUUUCACUGUCUCCGAGCGUGUAUACUAUCUAACAAGGGUAUAACUAGUUACCAGGAAUAUAUGCUUGAUCGAUCAGGUUCUUGAUCUCAGUGUGGACCUAAGUGCUGCCAGUGCUGCAGAUGAAUGAGUGAAGCUUCCUGUUCUGUUUGCAGCUACAAUAGUCUUUUGUUCCAACUACGUACUGUGUGCUGGGCGCAGGUGGGGACUGAGUCGGACUGUAUGAGGCUUUUUACUUUUAAUCAUAAAGUCCAUAUGUAAUGUAAUGUUUGUUUCUGUUCUUUAACAUCCUUUGAAAGAAAAAGAAAAAAACUUGUCCUUGAAACAUGUCUAGAUUUGAACAUGCACUUGUGGCAACGUUUCAGUUGUGGUUGUGUGGAGGCCUUUAGAUGAUGUGUGCCAUAUAUAUGGCAUAUACUCUCAAGAGAUUUGUUAAUUUCUCUCUGCUAGGCUUGGUCUGCUCUUUGUUUACUAGAAAAAGAGAAGAUAUCCUGGAACUGUCUGUGUUCUAAUAUAUGGUAUGAACUAUAUAUAUGAAGUCAUUCCAUUAUGGGAUAUCUUCCAGAGGUUUACAUUUAGGGUCAUAUACAUGAGAAAUUAGCAUAACUAGAAAUUGGUUUUGCCUGUAUGUUGCACAACAAGCUGUGAUGUGCAUUAUUGAUUCUAAUAAACUUCCAGAAGUAGCCUAGGAGCCAGUGGCAGGGAGAGGAAGAAGUGGCUUGAUUGACAAGAGAACAUAAAUGAAAGGUUAUACAUAUGUAGCUGCUUCUGGUUUCUUCAGAUGAUUUUCUAUCGAUCAUUCAGAUGUACGUUUUGGUGGAUCCAUCGAUUGAAUUUUUAUGCAUGAUCAUUGGUGGGUGGCUGUUGAUGAGGCUGGAUUGCUCCCUCAUGAACGGGAAGUACUUGAGCCAAUUCAAGUUUCCCGGAUGUGGUGUUUGACACAGAAGUUGCCUCUUCUUUGUGCAUUCUGUAAUAUUUGCUGCCAUGUCUGACUUUGCUAGAACCACUACUACUGCCAUCGCCGCCAUCAGUAGCUGCCUUCCUCAAAUCCGCCUGGUGUUUUCUUGCCGAUUUAGCCCACCCAACAAGUCCCUCUUGUACGUGUUCGUCGAAUAUUGCCUUCUUAAAAGAUGUUCCCAUCUAACUCAAUACACAAGUACUCUUAUCAUUAUAUAUACGUCUCUCUGAAAUCUAUUCAGGUUAACUUCGAAGGCUAAUUAUAAUAAGCCAAUUUAUAUAAUCUUUCAACAUUACUCACCUGUGUGACAAUUGCGUACAGUGGCAACGUACUGUAGCUGCAGACGAACUGGACAAACACUCUGAGAGUGGAUAUGAUUCCCCGUACGUAUAUUAAGGAGAGAACAUCAGACGUACAUAGAGAUCGAAAUAGUUAGUAUGUAUAUAAUAUAUAUACACAGUACAAACACACAUCUCUUGACAAGUAUUAAUUAGUAGCUUACCCGAUCACAAGUCUUGGGAUAACGUAACCAAUUUUCCCCAUCAUGCAGGAAUCAAAAUUAUAUUGAACCUGCAUGCAAGAAAUCGAUGGAUCAGCAGUUCUAAUAUUGAUCAAUUAUCAUAUACGUACGUAGAUGUACGUCGUACAGUUACAUACCCAUAUCCAGAAGCAGAAUGCGAGUUCAAAAGAAUUUUGGAACAAGAUGAUAUGAAUGAGUAAGAGAACCAAUCGAGGCCUGCGCAACCAGAAGUGAUCGUCUGAAGGUCGAACCACCAAGUCUCCUUCUAUUGCCAUGUGCUUAUCGGCAACAUCAUGGGCUAACUGGAUUAUAACAUGCUCCAACUUGGUGCCAACAGCAAGUAAAAGCUGUACGUACGUAUAUAUAGUAGAGACAACAAUUAGUAAGAAAUUAAUUAUUUAGAGACAAGAUCACGUACAAUAUAUGGAUCGGUACGUGUAUACUGGAAACGCAGGCAGCCGUGCAUGCGUGUGUGAUUGUGUGAAAAUUAAGAAUUGCAUAUCAUUGAUAAAACUGCAUGUAAGUAGUCAUAAUUAAGCAUCUGUACGUAAUAUAUACACAUACAACACACAUGUAAUACUUAAGUGGUUUUGGAGAGCUUACAAAGAACGGAACGAAUGAUGUCCAGAAAUAGAUAUGCCAACCUGUACAAGAGUGAUAUAUGUUUAGUAACAUCUUAACGUAUACGUACUUGGCUGCAUGGUUUUAUAAUCCCAGCUCUACGCAGGUACGUUUCAAUCAAUUGAUAGGUAGCUUACCAGCAACAUUCAGCAACAAGAAAAGGACUACAAAUAUCCAGAGGUACCAACUGAAAUUCAUUGUUAAAGAGUCAACAUAAGAUAGUAACUAUGAGCUGGUGGGAGCAGCUAAUUAAGAAAUGGGAGAAAUGAAGGGUAAUCUAAUAUGAAUAUUAGCAAGUUAAUUAGGAAAAAAAAUAAUAUAUAUAUAUAUAUAUAGGUCUUUUCAAAUAAGGACAUCCUUACCUUAGCUAAGGUACAAAUUUCUUUAAUUUAACCCACUUUCCGAUCAUAUUUUCUCAUCAUAGCCAUUCACUAUUUAGAUAUACAUGACUUGAUCAUCUAUACAAAAUUUCGGCUAAUUUGAUUAUCGUUAAGGUAUCAAAAAUUAAUUAAAUCAAUAAACGAACCAAAUCUGUUCAUCAUGAACCGUACGUUCUAUUAGUUCUAAAUCACAAAUUAGCUUAAUGAUUAUCAAUUUGACUGAAAAUUUAUAGUGAUGAUCUACUCAUAUAUACUUAAAAUCUGAACGGUUGAGAUGAGAAAAUAUGAUGAAAAACUGGGUCAAAUAAUAAAAUCCGUAUCUGAUCUAAGGUAAGGCCUUACCUGACAAGCACNNNNNNNNNNNNNNNNNNNNGAAUUUUUUUCUUUAAAAGUAUGAGGAGUGAAACGAUGUUAACCCCAAACCUCAGGAAGAUAAACUGAAAUUAAUCAAUAUAUAUAUAUAUAUAAUCUGAGAUUGUAAAUUCUAAAUAUCCUAACAGAUCACCUUAUUCUGACGACUUUCUUGAAAUCUGCUUCGAGGGCACGUACCAUGUACUUGUGGAAAUUAAAAUUUGGAUUUCCCUUGCAAUGUGUCUACAUGAAAAUAUAUACAGAAAACAGAAUUUAAGAUCUGAACAUGAGUAUGUAUAACGUCAGGAAAAAAGAAAAAAAAUCUUCACGAAGCUAAGAAGCAGAUCGAAAGGGCAAAAAAGAAGCAAAGUAAAAUAACAGCAAUUAUGCAUGGCUUACCUUGAUGAAGCCUAGUCGCAUUGUCAUGUAAUCUGUUUUGGUCACAGACCCAUAAAAUUGCUUGAAAAAUGCAAUCUGAAAAAGUAGGUAGGAGGAAGAUAAUUAAUUAUGAACUGUAUGAGUCCAGCACCACAUAAUUAUGGGAUUUGUAUUUUUGCUCAAAAUCGAUCUUAGAAAUUAAUUGAUACGUUUUUUUAGGAGAUGAAAUUGAUACGUUGGUAUGUAUGUAUAUAUGACAGAUCGUUUAAUUAAUAAGAUUUAAUUAAAUAUAAUCAAGCGAGAUGAUAGAGCGUUUCCACCAGUAAUCUAGUGAUCGAAUCGCGUAUAUAAUUCACAUUUGAACGAUCACUACUGGAAAAAAGCUCUUAGGAGACGGAAUUGUAAAUAGAACUUAGGAGACGGAAUAAGAUUCCAUAGCCUAAGUGACCAGUGACCACUUAAGCGACGGAACAAUAUUCCGUCUUCUAAGUUCUACUAAGGAGACAGAGUCAUUUUUAUUAAAAAAUAAAGAAAAAAUUUCAGUUUACCUCCCUAAUAUUUGGUGGCAAAAUCAGUUCAGUCCUGUAAUUUUUUUUUAAAUUAGUUCGCCCCUUCAACUUUCAUAAACACAUCAGUUUACUUUUUUUAAAAUUAGUUCGCCCCUUCAACUUUUGUAAACACAUCAGUUUUGUCCAAUUUUUGAAUUUCCCUUAAAAUAUGACGUCACAAAACUGACAAAGGGACCCAUUUUUAACAAAAAGUUGCAGGACUAAACUGAUUUUAACAUCAAAGAUUAGGGGGUAAACUGAAUUUAAAAAAAGUUAAAGGGGCGAACUGAUUUUAAAAAAAGUUGCAGGACUGAACUGAUUUUGACAUCAAAGAUUAAGGGGGUAAACUGAAUUUAAUUCAAAAAUAAAAUAGAAAUUAUUCACUUAGGCGACGGAACAAUAUUCCGUCUUCUAAGUUCUACUUAGCAGACAGAAAAUGUACUUAAGAGACAUAAUCAUUUUUAUAAAAAAUAAAAAAUAAAAAAUUUUAAUCACUUUAGCUACGAACAAAUAGGAAUCAGUCAUCUAAGUUCACAAAUUAUUAGCGGCAAUCUUUCCACUAAAAAAUUGAUAAAAAUUCAAACGAUUUUUUUUCAAAAAUUUCAAAAAUGGUAAAACCUAUCCCUAUCCAAUUAUAACUAACUCUAUCUUCUCAUCUCAUCUCAUCUCAUCUUUUCAAUCCCUUCUCUUCCUCUCCGGUCCCUUUUUCAAAACUCAAACCACCUCCAUCUCCAUAACCCAAUUUGAUUAUCUCAUUUCUUCUUCUUCCACAACUUCAUAUACUUCAAACCCCCUCUCUCUUUCUCACCCUCCACUAGGACGUCUCUCCCCCUCCUCCUCCCUCCUCCAUUUCCAUACCCACCGCCCUUUUUCCCCUCCACGCCACCGCCGCCAUCCUCUUGGAAUUCUAAGUCGAGCCUCCGUCCUCGAUCCUCAACCCUCCACCUCCGCCCUUGACCCUCCCCGCCAAGAAAGGGUCGUCGCCAUCCCGAUUCCUUUACACCUAGGCCGACGUCAAGCGUCUCCGGUCACUGCCACGGAUGUCGUCUAUGCUCUACGGUUUCGGGGGUUAAAUUGUUGGUUGUUAGUUAAGGGUUGGUUUCUAGGAUUUCAAUUUAGAUCUAUGUGUUAUGGAUAUUCUAUAAUAAACUUUGUUUGUUCACCAUCUAAUCUGCACCAUUGUUUUGAAGUAAUAGAAGUCUGAUUUCCCCAAAUUACUUUUGUUAAGUUUUGUAAUUUUUCUCUCUGUGAUUCUGUUAAUUGUGAUUGCAUUUUGAGAGAAUUGUCUCUUCAAUCAGAGAAUUGCAGAUUGUAGUUUUAUGGCAGGGAUCAUUUUCCAAGCUUUCAAGGUAGAACUCAGAGCAUGUCAGUAGUCUGGAUGGAAAAAUCGGUAUGACGUUGGAGACUAGAGCAGAAGACGAAGUCGGAUUGAGAUUUGGAAGAAAGCAGAGGCCGCCGUUUAUCAUAUUUUUUUAUAUAUUUCGUUUUAAGAAUUAGCGAUGGAAGAUUCUGUCACCUAAGAGUAUAAUUGUUUUUAAAAAGUCCGUCUCCUAUUAUCUUAGAAGACGAAACUAUUCCGUCUACUAGCGUCUCCUAAGAAUCACCUAGUAGACGGAAAUUCAAGUUUCGUCGCCUAGUUACCUACUUGAUGACACUUAGCCAACGGAUCUUAGUCGACGACCAUUCCGUCUCCUAAGUUCUUACGAGACCAAUUUUGUUACUUAGGAGAUGAAACCAUUUCGUCUCCUAAGUGCUAUUUUCCAGUAAUGAAUUAUGAUCAAGCGCGCGUUUACAAUGCCUGAUUUUUUCAUUUAAAAAAUAAUCAAAAUAAACUUUCACAAGCCAAAUUGAAAUGCUUUUUUAUUCAAGCAUUUUGAACCUAUUAAUUAAUAAGGCCAUUGUGGUGCCAACUUUGAAGGUUCAUGACUUGCUGCAGGUCUGCAUUUAUCAGAUACUCAUCUUUAACCAUAAGGUAAAUUUGUAGCGAAAUUUAGCUUGAAAAAUGAGAAUAUUCUAUGAAAUCUUAUUUAGCUUACCAAAUUCUCCCACCAUAAGCUAAAUCCCUAACUAAAAUAAUAAAAAGACUCCCACCAUAAGCCAAAUCCAAAGGUAAAGCUAUUUUCUUUUUCUUUUGUUAUAUAUUUGUUUAUUUAAUAAUUAAUCAUAAAAAAAAAUUAUAUUAAAUUUAUUCAAUAUGGGCCUCAUAUGAAAGGUCUCGUUGAGAUCUUCACGAUGAUUGUUAGUAGCAAUUUUUUAAUUUACAUGAUAAUGAAAAUUAAAAAGAAAAAGAUGAAGUUAAAUAAAAUAAUAUUUAAUUUUACUUACCGACUCCAUAAGCCAAAUUUGGCUUACCUUCAAGCUAAAUUUCUUUUCUUAGAGCAUCUUUAUCAGACUCUCUAUUUUAGCUUUUUAGCUAUUUUAGAGAGCGUGUUUAGCUUUUUGGGUAUUUUAGGAGCUCCAGCAAACUAGCUAAAAUUUAGUUAUUUUAACUUUUAGCUAUCUCGCUAGCUAAAUAUAGCUAGCUAGCUAGUGAGAUGUGAUUUUAUAAUUUAAUACAUUCCUUUAUAGCUAGCGUAGCUAGUGAGAUGUGACUCUAUAAUUUAAUACAUUUCUUUUAAGUUAUUUAAUGUGAUAUACAAAUAUAUAUAAACUAUUUAAUCUUCAUUUAUAGAAUAAUAUUAAUUUAAUAGUAACUAAAGUAGAGAGUAUUGAUGCAGACGUAUCUUAAAAGUCACUAGUCAAAAUGACAUUUUUUGCUAAUUUGACUAAAAUUUAACUCAAAAAUGACUAACAUUAGUAAAGAUGCUCUUAGAAUUUGUAAUUUAGCUUAAAGCAAGUCUGCCUAUAGCUUAAAAACAUGACCCUGACCUUCAUCCAUGUUAAAAGAAGACCUAGCAAAAAAUAAGCAAGUCCACCCACAAAUUUUUUUAUUUCUAUAGAUGGAGCCUAUUUUAAUUCUAAAAAUUCUACCAGAACAGGCGGUGCUAGUUUUGUGGUACGAGAUUCUUUUGGUAAGGUGUAUGUACGUAGGUGGUGACAUUCCCUUGAAAAGCUUGCAGUCUGCUGAACAUGCAGAACUGCUAGCUUGUUGUCAUGCCGUGGAUUUUGCUACCAACGAAGGCUUGUCACCUGUUAUUCUGGAAACAGAUGCCCAGGUUGUGCAAAACCAAAUUAAUGCUGCUCAUGUGCCUAAUAUGAGGACCUUAUGGUCCAAGAUAUCGAACCAGGCCGGGGUUAUAGCGCAUCUGCUAUGCUAACAGAAAGAGUAAUGAGGCUGCACAUUUGUUAGCUUCUUAUGCUUGCUCUUUAGAGGCAGGAGAGUUCUUUUUUCAGUUCUAAUUUUUCUACAAGCUGUAAUCACAGAUGACUUGUGUAUUGUUUAAUUUGUUUUAUAUGUUUCAAUAAAGAGUUGUCAUUCAUUCAAAAAUAAUAUACAUAGCCUUUAGUGUUAGCUAAACUACUGAGUUUUGAGUUUGUUCUUUUUUUUUUUUUCCCCAGAAAACAGCCAAGUUACUUUGUGCUGAGUUUUAAUAAUAAUAGCUAAUUACUAGCUAAAUUACCAAGUUACUAAAGUUACUAGCAUGACUCACCAACCAACCCAUAAAAGCUUGAUUCUUUCCAAUACCCAGAAAACGACCUCUGAUAAAAUCAUGGUCUUGAACGGCAGUGAAGUCCUUCUCUGUCAAAACUGCAAGAGCAUGCACGUGAAAAUUAAACAUAUAGAUUAAUU
Molecule: long non-coding RNA, 24101 nt
Filed under: Fragaria vesca (wild strawberry)
Lineage: Eukaryota; Viridiplantae; Streptophyta; Magnoliopsida; Rosales; Rosaceae
Description: long non-coding RNA (FVES_LNC001310)
Source: RNAcentral